Molecule: ribosomal RNA, 701 nt
Filed under: Arthrobotrys eudermata
Lineage: Eukaryota; Fungi; Ascomycota; Orbiliomycetes; Orbiliales; Orbiliaceae
Description: eukaryotic LSU rRNA
Rfam family: 5.8S ribosomal RNA (bases 220-373)
Source: RNAcentral
UUAUGCGACCUGCGGAGGUCUUACCAAAAGUGAGCAAUCGCUUUUCUACCUGCUCAGUGACCCUUCUGGGUCAUUGACUGGUCAACCCUUUGUGAACCAAAAAACACUUUCGCUUCAGCAGCUGGGCUCUAACCAGUCCGUCAGCCUGCUGCUAGCACCCCUUCAUAAACCUGUUUGUCAAAACAUUGUCUGAUAACCAAAUUUUCGAAUGAAAAUCAAAACUUUCAACAACGGAUCUCUUGGUUCCCGCAUCGAUGAAGAACGCAGCGAAACGCGAUAGUUAAUGUGAAUUGCAGAAUUCAGUGAAUCAUCGAGUCUUUGAACGCACAUUGCGCCCAUUGGUAUUCCUUUGGGCAUGUCUGUUUGAGCGUCAUUACAACCCUCAGCUAACCGCUGGUUUUGAACCUGAACGGGGUAACACCUGCGCUGGUUUUAAAGUUGUAAGCUCUGCUGGCCGCUCUGCCAAACCAGAACAUAGUAAGCUCUACUUGUUUGGGUGAAGCUGGAACGGUUUUCGGCCUGAACAAAACCAUUUUUCUUUAAGGUUUGACCUCAGAUCAGACAAGGAUACCCGCUGAACUUAAGCAUAUCAAUAAGGCGGAGGAAAAGAUCCAACAGGGAUUGACUCGGUAACGGUGAGUGAAGCGGCAACAGGUCGAUUUGCAAUCUGGAGCCUUGUUACGACUUUUACUUCAAAAGAA